UGCAUAAUCUACUUGGAAUAUUAUAUUU
Molecule: small RNA, 28 nt
Filed under: Bombyx mori (domestic silkworm)
Lineage: Eukaryota; Metazoa; Arthropoda; Insecta; Lepidoptera; Bombycidae
Description: ovarian small RNA-33545
Source: RNAcentral